This 516-nucleotide ribosomal RNA is filed under the name uncultured delta proteobacterium. RNAcentral's name for it is "bacterial SSU rRNA". It matches the Rfam family "Bacterial small subunit ribosomal RNA", at positions 27 to 523 of the family's 1533-position model. Lineage: Bacteria; Deltaproteobacteria. The record is from RNAcentral.
GAACGAACGUUAGCGGCGCGCUUAACACAUGCAAGUCGUGCGAGAAAGGGCUUCGGCCCCGGUACAGCGGCGCACGGGUGAGUAACACGUAGGUAAUCUACCCCCAGGUGGUGGAUAACCUUCCGAAAGGAGGGCUAAUACAGCAUGAGACCACGACUCCGAAAGGGGAUGAGGUCAAAGCCGGCCUCUUCACGAAAGCUGGCGCCAGGGGAUGAGCCUGCGGCCCAUCAGGUAGUUGGUAGGGUAAUGGCCUACCAAGCCAAAGACGGGUAGCUGGUCUGAGAGGAUGAUCAGCCACACUGGAACUGAGACACGGUCCAGACUCCUACGGGAGGCAGCAGUGGGGAAUCUUGCGCAAUGGGCGAAAGCCUGACGCAGCGACGCCGCGUGAGUGAUGAAGGCCCUCGGGUUGUAAAGCUCUGUGGAGGGGGACGAAUAAGUGUUGGCUAAUAUCCAGCAUGAUGACGGUACCCCUUUAGCAAGCACCGGCUAACUCUGUGCCAGCAGCCGCGGUAA